ACACGCACGCACACGGGCACACGCACGCACAUGUGUGCAUCCGCAUGCACACCUGCACGCACACGCACAUGCAUGCACACCCGUGCGCACGGGCACACGUCCCGUGCUCUUAGUUGCUGCCAGUGCGGACGAGAGAGGGGGCACUGGGCACAGGAGCGGCUCCCUGUCGGCGCGGCCUGGGGCGAGCCGUUUGCCGGGAUCACCGCUCAUUCCCGCUGGAAAGGCCUCUGAGUUGGGCCCUGAGGUCAAAGGCCGGAUCGCACUGCAGGGCUGAGUUUGGAGAGCGGUGAUCAGUCGCAGUUAAGGGGACACGCCCUGCCGCAUCCUCUGCACCCGAGCGUCAAGCUGGACAGCGGCUGCACCGUGUCAAGCUGGAAGGCGUAUCGAGUUGUGCUGCCCCAGAUGUUCUCCAGCCCUGCUGUCCUCGGAAGGCUCUGAUUCCAGGAGGAGGAAACAGGGGACAAGCCUGUUCCUCUGCCGUGUGAGGCGGUCUGUGACAAAGAGCAUUCCUGAGGGCUCUACCGUCUUGCAGUCAGAACAGUGAACUCGUGACUCCUUCUGUUCCCGUCUCCCGGGGCAGCGCUCCCCACGCCAGCCAGGGCGCUGCACCUAUCCAUGGCUUUUUGAGGCUCCGGCUACCGCACAGGGGCGUUGUGAAGAUUGAGGUCUAUUUGGUAAUUGAAGUUUGUGAUAUGAUUUGAGUUCCUUCAGGAUGACUUCAUGUAAAUGUCUUACAGUGAUUGCAACAAUAUGGAGGAAGGCAAAUGGUAAGGAAAUAAAACAAAAUAACAAUGAAAUAAAAUAAAAAUAAAGAUGAAAUAAAAUAAAAUAAAAUAAAUAAAAUAAAAUAAAAGGAGGCAAAGAAAGCCAUUUUCUCUGUGAACCUAACAAACAGAACAAAACAAAGCCCCUAAAUCAGAAGAACUGUUGCAGGUGAAUCUGAAAAAUGCUGAGUAUCACAUGUGCUCCUUCAAACCCAGGACGAAGCACAAGUCUGAUUUUAUUCAAGGGUUAAAAGGGCAAGAGUGAAGAAUGUAUAUAAUAUCUGCCUUCUUUUGACUAUGUCUCGCAGGAGAAAAAUGUAUUCUGAAAUGACUGACAACUUGGGGGAAAAUUAGAGCGCUCGUAUUCUAAGUACCUUGUUCAGAGCAUACCAUGAAAAGUAUGAAUUUAUAAAAUAAAAAAUGAGGGGCCCCUGGGUGGCUCCGUCGGUCAAGGUUCCGACGUCAGCUCAGGUCAUGAUCUUGCGGUUUGUGGGUCCCAGC
Molecule: long non-coding RNA, 1265 nt
Organism: Felis catus (domestic cat)
Lineage: Eukaryota; Metazoa; Chordata; Mammalia; Carnivora; Felidae
Exons: 5
Source: RefSeq, a predicted model, not a curated record